GACGAACGCUGGCGGCGUGCUUAACACAUGCAAGUCGAACGAUGAAGAAAAGAAUCGAAGCUUCGGCAGAAAUUCAUUUCGGAUUAGUGGCAGACGGGUGAGUAACGCGUGAGCAACCUACCUCUUACAAAGGGAUAGCCUCGGGAAACUGGGAUUAAUACCAUAUAACAUUGUGACGAAGCAUUUCGAUGCAAUCAAAGCUACGGCGGUAAGAGAUGGGCUCGCGUCCCAUUAACCGGAUGGUGAGGUAACGGCUCACCAUAGUGACGAUGGGUAACCGGCCUGAGAGGGUGAACGGUCACACUGGAACUGAGACACGGUCCAGACUCCUACGGGAGGCAGCAGUGGGGAAUAUUGCACAAUGGAGGGAACUCUGAUGCAGCGACGCCGCGUGAGUGAUGAAGGAAUUCGUUUCGUAAAACUCUGUUCUAUGGGAAGAAAAGGACUGUACCAUAGGAGAAAGCUCCGGCUAAAUACGUG
This 480-nucleotide ribosomal RNA is filed under the name uncultured bacterium. RNAcentral's name for it is "partial 16S ribosomal RNA". It matches the Rfam family "Bacterial small subunit ribosomal RNA", at positions 28 to 507 of the family's 1533-position model. The record is from RNAcentral.